UUUUUUUUUUCUGGUGAGAAAUUAGAAAACUGACUACGUGAUCUCGGCGCUAUGAAAUACACGUGGCUUUGUAUUAUUGGAUUAGAAAACAGGUGACCUUGGAAAUAGAAACUUUUCACGUGUAUGUUGCUGAUUUGGGCAAGAGUAACGAAGGCGCGAAGUCGGUAACGUGGCGGACUUGCGGGUCAUUAAUACCAUGAUUUUUUAAGGGAAAAUAUAUGAAUUGCCCUUUUAUAUGUUCUUGAAUUACUGAUAUUGCCAUCUUCUUUGUAUUCUUUGGUCAUGAUUCAUUGACUCAUGAGUCAAAAUUAAAUCAUUAAAUGGAGAUUAUUAUAUUUUGCAAAAUAAUAUGGAUAUUCAGCUACUGUAGUUGUAGUUUUUAAUUAAUUCAAGUCAAAGGAGAAUCUAAUUAAGAAAAAAAUAUGUGAAUCUAAUUGAUUAGUUGACUUGAUGAGAUGAGAUUAGAGAUGUGAUUAGCAAUGUAGACCAACUGAUUAAAAAUUAAUCUACACAUGCAUGCAAAAUCUGUUGCAAACCAAAGCAAUGGUUGUAAUCUGUUUUGGUUGGGCAAAUGGUAGACAUACUUGUAUGAAAUUUCUUUUAUUUUUUAGCACUUUUCAGAUUAUUCACGUGAAUACCUGAUGUUGAUAUUAAUUAUUUUGGAUUUAUUUUCCUAUACGUAUUUAGUGAUUGCCAUCUAUGUUCUAUGCUUCUAAAAAAAAAAAAAAAAAAAAAAAAAUCUAUGUUCUAUGCAUCUACUAUACCAACAAGAACACACGCAGUCUUGUGAGUUGUGACUUUACAAAAUGCCACCAUGCUAAAAGUCUAAAACACAAACAGUACACUACUUUGUUUCAGUCAGGACUCGGGAUAAUGUUGGCUCCUACUGUCCUACAUGCAUCUCAAGGAAUCAAGGAUCACCAGUAGAGCUUUGAUAGAGUUGCGUCGGCAUAAAUUAGCACCUCAGCACAAAUCAAUCUCAAGAGACUUGCAGGCCAGGUUGGCCCAACCCUCAGACCUACAGUAGAAGAGUUUUCGGGGCUAACUUAUUAGGCGUUGGUCCAAGUAGAGUUGAAGCCCAGAGGCAUAUUUUUCCAGGUUUAUGCGAAAACUUUUUUCCAGGGAAGUUUCAUAUUGCCAAUGAUUUUUUCACUCAGAAAUGAAGUACAGUAUGCAUAUUGUUGAAUUUAUAUGUAUAUUAUCUAGAAUUUGGAAGAAAAUAAUAAACCAGGCCAGCAGUAAUUAACAACUGAAUGUUACAUAUAAAUGUCUAAGCAACUAUUAUGGUAGCUACAUAUCAGAAACAGACCAGAGAUAUGCUUCUAUCUCAAUAGCUUGUUUUUCAUUUUUUUUUUUUUUCAAAGUAUUUCUUUUCAGUUCCAUUACUCCUAUCAACUCCAUCCCAAUGCCUCCCUGGCCUUAUACCAUAAGGUAUGGUUUGGCGCCGCUUCUAUUCUUCUUUUAAUCCAACAUAUGAUCAGGAAUUAUCUGAGGAACGUAACUAUAAAUCCAGAUUCUUUCAUCUUUUCGUUAUCACCCAAAUCUUCCAAAAUCAUGUCCAAUGACGCUUGCUUCCUCUUUGCCAAAUGUGCCAUUGGAUCUCCCCACCUAAUUUGCUCCUACAACAUUUUUUCUAGUUCAGGGUCAUCUUUGGUUCGUGCAACUGCCUCUUCUUCUCCAUUUCUAGCUCAUGCUCCUUCGGUUUCUCUCUUUUGAACCAAACCUUUGCUCCAUUCCAACUUUAUUAUUUCCUUCGGUUUUUCAUCAUCCUUGUCUACUUGCAACACGCGUUUACCUUCUUUAUCCCGAUAAACAGGUUCAGCUCCUCUUCCACUUACAGAAGGAUCUAAUCCUUUAUACUGAGCUAACUCUUCUUUCUUCUUUCUCUCAAUCUCAAUUUUGAAUUCCUGCGCAGUUAAUAGCCCAGUUGUUGCCUCUUCUUUUGGUAUGUUCUUCCUUUUCGGUCGUGGGGGAGAAAGGUCAGAAGAUUUCGACAUUGCCACAAGUGACAAACAACUUGAAAAGAAGAGAAACAAGAUGACUGCACAAGGAUAGUUGGUAGAUAUCCAAUAUACAAUAUACACAUAUAUGUAGAGAUUAAAAGAGAUGUAAUCCUAAUUAUUUUAGAAAUCGUUUCUAUUUUGUGUAGUAUAAGAAAACAUUUUAUGUCCGAAACAGAAAUUAUACCAUCCGCCCAACAUGUUCUUUCCAUCCACAUUCCGGCCUCAACCAUAUUUCCAAACCAAAUCAAAAAUUGCAGAGCAGACAAGACAAUGCUACGAUUACUUUCAUAUAUGUUUCUUGUGAUGGUCUGUUGUAGCUUUCACCUUGUUAAUUUUCAUGCUUGAAUUAAUCUUUCUAGAUGCAUUAACCUUAAUUUUAGGAUUGUAAGACUCAUCAUCAUCGAGGAAUAAGGAUUAAUAGCACAGUCAUCAGGGACCGCAUGAAUCGCUGUGUGGUGCUGACAGUGCUGUUCAUAUAUUGGUUCUCAUUUCUUUUAUAUUUCUUGUAAUUCAGAUAUGCUGAAGUUGUUAUUUAAAUCAUUGCCCUGUUUUUACCAAGAAAAAAACAUCAUUGCUUUGUCCUCAAAAGUUAAAUAAACAUAAAAAACAGUAAGACGACGUGCGCAAAAUCCUCAUAAGUAUUUUCAGUUAAUUCUUAUUUAUAAUGAUCAUCAGCAGCUGAAAGAAUUAGUACAUACACAUAUGUAUGAUAAUCCUACAUAAUUAUCAUGACAACCAAUCAAGCUUGAUAUUUGAUCUCAUUACCAAAAGUCAAACUGUUGGUAGCAAGUUCUUUCAAGAAUGCAUUUUCCUUGGUAAAAGGAUUGUUGGGAACCUGAAGUUCUUCAUAGCAAUCAUUCAUUGUAGAAAAUUGGGUGAACACAGCAGCUAAAUUGGAAUCCACAGUACCCUUAUCUUUCUCUUUCAUGGCCUUCAGAAUACUAAACAUGUUAUAAACUGCACCUUCAUAUUCUUGUUUGGUCGAUUCAAGGCACUGCUUCAAUGUACCGGUUGCGGUUGGAAGAAGCUGUUUGAGUGCUGAUAAAGUUCUUGAUGUUUGAAAAAUAGUUGCUCCGAUGUUUGCUUUCAAUGCCUUUUGACAACCUCCAUGUACAUUUUUCAAUAUGGCAUUACAAAUCGAUGGGUAAUCAGUCUUUGUACACAACGUUGCAGCGUUUAUUUGUGCUGCAUGGGCACUUGUGAAGAAAAAUAUAGCUGUUGUUGCCGCGAAUAUUAUAAUCAAGUGUUGAUUGGAAGCCAUGUUUACUGAAUAGGGACUCCUACUCCCCCAAAAGAGAAAAUCUUGAUUGGGAAGAAGAGACCUUCAUUUUUGUGAGGAGAAAGGUUUAGUUUAUAUACAAUAUGAUAGAAUUGAAAUAGAGAUCAACCAUUUUUUU
This 3400-nucleotide long non-coding RNA is filed under the name Aquilegia coerulea. Its description in RNAcentral is "long non-coding RNA (ACOE_LNC000153)". The record is from RNAcentral. Lineage: Eukaryota; Viridiplantae; Streptophyta; Magnoliopsida; Ranunculales; Ranunculaceae.